CCACACACGCACACAAGCCCAUCUGUGUCUGUAUAUAUAAACGCCUCUCCUUACUCUACCAACACACACCUUCAUUUCUUCAGCAUCACCGUACUCUGUUUUCACUCUCUGUCCUCCUUUCAGUUUCUUGGUUUCUGGGAUUUUGUUUUUUUCUGGCGCAAUUUGAGAGAUUAUGGGUGGGGCGAUUUUGCCAGAUCUUGGAGCGGAAAUUCUGAUUCCGGUAUGUGCGAUUAUCGGAAUUGGGUUCUCGUUGAUUCAGUGGUUGCUUGUUUCGAAAGUGAAGCUGGUCCCUGGUGGUAGAGAUGCGGCGGGAAAUAAUAGUGUAGGGAAGAAUGGGUACAGUGACUAUCUUAUUGAAGAGGAGGAGGGUCUCAAUGACCAUAACGUCGUCCUUAAAUGCGCCGACAUUCAAAGUGCCAUAUCUGAAGGGGCAACUUCCUUCCUUUUCACUGAAUAUCAGUAUGUUGGAAUUUUCAUGCUUGCUUUUGCAAUCCUUAUUUUCCUAUUCCUCGGCUCUGUUGAGGGAUUCAGCACCAAGACUCAACCUUGCACCUAUGACCCAUUGAAGACAUGCAAGCCUGCCCUAGCAACUGCUGUCUUCAGCACGGUGUCCUUCUUGCUUGGUGCUUUCACUUCUGUAGUUUCUGGCUUCCUUGGGAUGAAAAUUGCUACAUAUGCAAAUGCUAGAACCACCCUUGAGGCAAGAAAAGGAGUUGGGAAGGCUUUUAUCACUGCAUUCAGGUCUGGUGCUGUCAUGGGUUUUCUCCUUGCUGCAAAUGGUCUGUUGGUGCUUUUCAUUGCUAUCAACCUCUUUAAACUGUACUAUGGUGAUGACUGGGCUGGUCUUUUUGAGGCUAUAACUGGUUAUGGUCUUGGAGGAUCUUCCAUGGCCCUCUUUGGCAGAGUGGGGGGAGGUAUCUACACCAAAGCUGCUGAUGUUGGUGCUGAUCUUGUUGGCAAGGUAGAAAGGAACAUUCCUGAGGAUGACCCGAGGAAUCCAGCUGUGAUUGCUGAUAAUGUUGGUGAUAAUGUUGGGGAUAUAGCUGGUAUGGGAUCGGACCUUUUUGGCUCAUACGCAGAGUCUUCUUGUGCUGCCUUAGUUGUUGCUUCCAUUUCCUCUUUUGGAAUUAAUCAUGAAUUGACUUCAAUGCUAUACCCUCUUAUAAUCAGUUCUGUGGGUAUCCUUGUUUGUUUGCUCACCACCUUGUUUGCAACUGAUUUCUUUGAGAUCAAGGCUGUAAAGGAAAUUGAGCCAGCUUUGAAAAAGCAGCUCAUCAUUUCAACUGUUCUUAUGACUGUUGGAAUUGCCAUUGUUAGUUGGAUUGCUCUACCAUCUUCCUUCACCAUCUUCAAUUUCGGGACUCAGAAAGUUGUUAAGAACUGGCAACUUUUCUUGUGUGUUGCUGUUGGUCUCUGGGCUGGGCUGAUUAUUGGAUUUGUAACUGAGUACUUCACUAGCAAUGCAUACAGCCCUGUUCAAGAUGUUGCUGAUUCCUGCCGAACUGGAGCUGCCACUAAUGUUAUUUUUGGGCUUGCUUUGGGAUAUAAAUCUGUCAUUAUCCCAAUUUUUGCCAUUGCAGUCAGCAUUUUUGUCAGUUUCAGCUUUGCUGCUAUGUAUGGUAUUGCAGUAGCUGCCCUUGGAAUGCUGAGCACCAUCGCCACUGGAUUGGCAAUUGAUGCAUAUGGUCCCAUUAGUGAUAAUGCUGGAGGUAUUGCUGAGAUGGCAGGCAUGAGCCACAGAAUCCGUGAGAGGACUGAUGCCCUUGAUGCUGCAGGAAACACCACUGCUGCUAUUGGAAAGGGUUUUGCCAUUGGUUCUGCAGCUCUUGUGUCCCUUUCCCUCUUUGGUGCCUUUGUUAGCCGUGCUUCAAUUUCAAAAGUAGAUGUGUUGACACCAAAAGUUUUUAUUGGUUUGAUUGUUGGUGCAAUGCUUCCCUACUGGUUUUCUGCUAUGACAAUGAAGAGUGUGGGGAGUGCAGCCCUGAAGAUGGUUGAGGAGGUCCGUAGGCAAUUCAACACCAUCCCUGGUCUGAUUGAGGGCACUGCCAAGCCAGACUAUGCUACCUGUGUUAAGAUCUCCACUGAUGCUUCCAUCAAAGAGAUGAUCCCACCUGGUGCGCUUGUCAUGCUCACCCCCCUCAUUGUUGGGAUCUUUUUGGGUGUGGAAACUCUCUCUGGUGUUCUAGCUGGAGCACUCGUAUCUGGUGUUCAGAUUGCCAUCUCUGCAUCCAACACUGGUGGUGCUUGGGAUAAUGCCAAGAAGUACAUUGAGGCUGGCGCUUCUGAACAUGCAAGAGCUCUUGGUCCUAAAGGGUCAGAUCCACACAAAGCAGCUGUUAUUGGUGACACCAUCGGGGAUCCAUUGAAGGACACAUCUGGGCCAUCACUCAACAUCCUUAUCAAACUUAUGGCAGUUGAAUCACUUGUGUUUGCUCCAUUCUUUGCUACACAUGGAGGGCUACUCUUCAAGAUAUUUUAAGUGGGGACGAGAAGCAAACAUAAAAUGGUCCACCUAGUCAUCACGUCUGUUGUAUCUUGGAUUCUUGGUUUCUGCAAUUCUUACCCUGUUUUCUUGUUCUUCUGAGGGAUACACCUUGGAUAUAUUCUCUUUUUGCGGAAACUUGGAGAAUCCAGCUAAAUACAAUCAACUUGUGAGGAAAAGAUAUUAUAAUCAGUGCUCAAACAUUGUAUAUGUCACUGUAGCCAAGAAACUUUCUCCAGCUUGUUGAAGAAUCCAAUAGUGUUAAUGAGACAUGUUUCUGGAUAUAGUUCAUGAUGUGCAUUGAUGACAGAGAAUGAUGUGGCCAAAGCUGAAAGCUCUUGAAGGACAUGAGGAAGUUCAUGCAUGUAAAUAUAUGUUAGUGUGAGUAGGGGUGUUCAGUUCUGGUUCGGUUUGGGAUUUGUCUAGAAAUCAGAAUCGAAUCAAAAUUUCGGUA
Molecule: RNA transcript, 2936 nt
Organism: Hevea brasiliensis (rubber tree)
Lineage: Eukaryota; Viridiplantae; Streptophyta; Magnoliopsida; Malpighiales; Euphorbiaceae
Gene name: pyrophosphate-energized vacuolar membrane proton pump
Exons: 10
Source: RefSeq, a predicted model, not a curated record